AAGACCUUUGGAAGAAGGGUUAUAAUGUAGGGCAAGAUCUGUAGCAUAGAAGGAAAGAGAGACAAGACGGCUUGGACUACGUCCUUUCUCUUGUGUAAACUCUGGGAAGCCAAAGACAGAGAUUAAAUACUCAUUAGCAAUAGUCACUUAACGGAUGGAAUGAGUGUGUGCCUGGCAAGACAGGUUUGCUUCAGAUUCUAGAGAGUGGACAGUGGAAAGAAGUGUUUGAGAAACGUUUUGGGGGAUAGUGAGUAAUAGCAGAACGAGAACAAAACCUUUGACUUGGGCUUUGAUAAGGGAUUCGCAUGCAUUUUGUAGGAAAGGACUGAGCUCAAGGUCAACUCUCCUAUCCUUUCACCUCUGAGGAUGGCUGCUGUGCCCAAGGGAGCAUGAUGAUGGUUCUGGGGAGCACCGGAGCUGGGGUGCUCUCUGUGUGGAGUGAGCCCCACCCCAUGUGCUGAAGUGCUUGCUUCUCAGCUGGUGGAGCAGAUGUCGAGUAAAUUUAAAGCUAUUUGUUGAUUGACCCAGGAAUUGAAAUGUUUGCCCCUUCCUUACACUGUUUAACAAAAAAAUUGUGUUUUCACAGAGUAUGAUUGAGGAUCUCCUCUAGUGUGGACAAGCCAUGUGACUUUGCAUGAACUAUUUAAACUCUCAGAGAACUUGAACUGAACAAAUCUCUGUCAGGGAUUUUCUUGCAACCAAUUCAGGUAGAAGACACACCUCCAUUCCUGGCUCACUAUGCAGAAGUCAUAGAUGUCGUAACUCCUGUGGUAGUUACCCCUGAAUCUAAUGUCAUCCAAAUUGUCCUCCUUCCUAAAUUUAUGUAUUAUUGAUAACUUAUAAAAUUGGCUAUUAGAUAAU
Molecule: long non-coding RNA, 861 nt
Filed under: Mus pahari (shrew mouse)
Lineage: Eukaryota; Metazoa; Chordata; Mammalia; Rodentia; Muridae
Description: lncRNA (MGP_PahariEiJ_G0005822.1)
Source: RNAcentral